Unclassified non-coding RNA from Macaca fascicularis (crab-eating macaque), 148 nucleotides. It matches the Rfam family "Metazoan signal recognition particle RNA". Rfam says of the family: The signal recognition particle (SRP) is a universally conserved ribonucleoprotein. It is involved in the co-translational targeting of proteins to membranes. The eukaryotic SRP consists of a 300-nucleotide 7S RNA and six proteins: SRPs 72, 68, 54, 19, 14, and 9. The record is from Ensembl. Lineage: Eukaryota; Metazoa; Chordata; Mammalia; Primates; Cercopithecidae.
GCUGGGCAUGGUGGCAUGUGCCUAUAAUCCUAGCUACUCUGGAGGCUGAGGUGGGAGGAUUGCUUGAGCCCAGGGGUUCGAGGCUGCAGUGAGCCAUGAUGGCACCACUGUACUCCAGCCUGGGCAACAGAACGAGACUCCAUCUCUU